RNAcentral lists this ribosomal RNA (661 nucleotides) under Streptococcus infantarius. RNAcentral describes it as "bacterial SSU rRNA". It matches the Rfam family "Bacterial small subunit ribosomal RNA", at positions 44 to 689 of the family's 1533-position model. The record is from RNAcentral. Lineage: Bacteria; Bacillati; Bacillota; Bacilli; Lactobacillales; Streptococcaceae.
GUGCCUAAUACAUGCAAGUAGAACGCUGAAGACUUUAGCUUGCUAAAGUUGGAAGAGUUGCGAACGGGUGAGUAACGCGUAGGUAACCUGCCUACUAGCGGGGGAUAACUAUUGGAAACGAUAGCUAAUACCGCAUAACAGCAUUUAACACAUGUUAGAUGCUUGAAAGGAGCAAUUGCUUCACUAGUAGAUGGACCUGCGUUGUAUUAGCUAGUUGGUGAGGUAACGGCUCACCAAGGCGACGAUACAUAGCCGACCUGAGAGGGUGAUCGGCCACACUGGGACUGAGACACGGCCCAGACUCCUACGGGAGGCAGCAGUAGGGAAUCUUCGGCAAUGGGGGCAACCCUGACCGAGCAACGCCGCGUGAGUGAAGAAGGUUUUCGGAUCGUAAAGCUCUGUUGUAAGAGAAGAACGUGUGUGAGAGUGGAAAGUUCACACAGUGACGGUAACUUACCAGAAAGGGACGGCUAACUACGUGCCAGCAGCCGCGGUAAUACGUAGGUCCCGAGCGUUGUCCGGAUUUAUUGGGCGUAAAGCGAGCGCAGGCGGUUUAAUAAGUCUGAAGUUAAAGGCAGUGGCUUAACCAUUGUUCGCUUUGGAAACUGUUAGACUUGAGUGCAGAAGGGGAGAGUGGAAUCCAUGUGUAGCGGUGAAAUGC